Molecule: ribosomal RNA, 380 nt
Filed under: uncultured eukaryote
Lineage: Eukaryota
Description: partial 18S ribosomal RNA
Rfam family: Eukaryotic small subunit ribosomal RNA
Source: RNAcentral
CAAUAGCGUAUAUUAAAGUUGUUGCAGUUAAAAAGCUCGUAGUUGGAUUUGUGGCGUACGGUGUGUUCCGGGCACUUGUUGUCUGAGUAACCUGCUGUUGCCAUCCUUGGGUGGAACCUGUGUGGCAUUAGGUUGUCGUGCAGGGGAUGCCCAUCAUUUACUGUGAAAAAAUUAGAGUGUUCAAAGCAGGCUUAUGCCGUUGAAUAUAUUAGCAUGGAAUAAUGAGAUAGGACUUUUUUGCUAUUUUGUUGGUUUGCGGAAAGAGGUAAUGAUUAAUAGGGACAGUUGGGGGUAUUCGUAUUCCAUUGUCAGAGGUGAAAUUCUUGGAUUUUUGGAAGACGAACUACUGCGAAAGCAUUUACCAAGGAUGUUUUCAUUAA